CGCGGGGUGGAGCAGCCUGGUAGCUCGUCGGGCUCAUAACCCGAAGGUCGUCGGUUCAAAUCCGGCCCCCGNCAACCA
Molecule: transfer RNA, 78 nt
Filed under: Klebsiella pneumoniae
Lineage: Bacteria; Pseudomonadati; Pseudomonadota; Gammaproteobacteria; Enterobacterales; Enterobacteriaceae
Description: tRNA-Met
Rfam family: tRNA
About the family: Transfer RNA (tRNA) molecules are approximately 80 nucleotides in length. Their secondary structure includes four short double-helical elements and three loops (D, anti-codon, and T loops).
Source: RNAcentral